UGUUUGAAAUACUAGGAACCUAAAAACACACAGUAAUACUAGGUCAAGGCUUAAACAUCAGAUCAUCAAUCAAGAGUCAGUUUCCAAUCCAAUGGGAGAAUUACUCUAAACUCGUGGACCAACCUUUGGAACAAAAUUUCCAGAAAUUCCAGGAAACCUGAGAAAUGAUCUCAGUCGAUAGUAAAAUAGUUUCCAGAUUAAACUUACGAAGUCCAAAAUUUCUCUCAAUAUUAACGACUAAUAAAACAAAGAAAAAAA
This 258-nucleotide long non-coding RNA is filed under the name Erythranthe guttata (spotted monkey flower). RNAcentral describes it as "long non-coding RNA (EGUT_LNC000055)". Lineage: Eukaryota; Viridiplantae; Streptophyta; Magnoliopsida; Lamiales; Phrymaceae. The record is from RNAcentral.